ACGCAGCCGACGAGUCCCAAGUAGAACGAAACGCGCGUCCUGGAU
This 45-nucleotide non-coding RNA is filed under the name Schistosoma margrebowiei. The record is from RNAcentral. Lineage: Eukaryota; Metazoa; Platyhelminthes; Trematoda; Strigeidida; Schistosomatidae.